AUUGGACGCUGGCGGCAUGCUUUACACAUGCAAGUCGAACGGUAACAGGUUAAGCUGACGAGUGGCGAACGGGCGAGUAAUGCACCGGAACGUGCCCGGUCGUGGGGGAUAACGCAGCGAAAGCUGCGCUAAUACCGCAUACGAUCUGAGGAUGAAAGCGGGGGACCGUAAGGCCUCGCGCGAUCGGAGCGGCCGAUGGCACGAUUAGGUAGUUGGUGGGGUAAAGGCUCACCAAGCCAACGAUCUGUAGCUGGUCUGAGAGGACGACCAGCCACAGUGGGGCUGAGAGACGGCCCAGACGCCUACGGGAGGGAGCAGUGGGGAAUUUUGGACAAUGGGCGAAAGCCUGGUCCAGCAAUGCCGCGUGCAGGAAGAAGGCCUUCGGGUUGUAAGCUGCUUUUGUACGGAGCGAAAAGGUCGCCUCUAAUACAGGGGGCGCAUGACGGUACCGUAAGAAUAAGCACCGGCUAACUACGUGCCAGCCGCCGCAGUAA
Molecule: ribosomal RNA, 494 nt
Filed under: uncultured bacterium
Lineage: Bacteria
Description: partial 16S ribosomal RNA
Rfam family: Bacterial small subunit ribosomal RNA
Source: RNAcentral